Molecule: long non-coding RNA, 679 nt
Organism: Hypanus sabinus (Atlantic stingray)
Lineage: Eukaryota; Metazoa; Chordata; Chondrichthyes; Myliobatiformes; Dasyatidae
Exons: 3
Source: RefSeq, a predicted model, not a curated record
UCGCCAGCCCGGUGCGAUAGGGUUGUGGGGGUGUAUCGUUGACAGGGUUCCUGUGUCCCUCUGGUCAACACUUUACCUUGAAAUCCCUGGGUCGUACGCGGUCAGCUAUUCCCUCCAGUUUGCGAGCGAGGGCAAUUCAUCUCGUCUGCUGCAGAAGGGACACCAUGUGUAGCAUUGUUUAAACGACCAGUAUACUUAUCUCACCAUAUCGAGUGUCGAUUGUCUUUGCAAUAAUUAUAUGGGCUUGAUGUCCGUAAACUGAGGUGACCAUUUCUUCAGCUCAAACUGUUAUUACUGUGCCGUUCAAUUGGAGACAUUUGCUGGUUGAAUACACCGACUGUAAAUUGUACGCCUGUCAGUUCUCUGCAACCGAACCACGAGAAAGUGUGCACAUCCAGAGCGAGACACACAAACUGCUGGAGGGACUCCGCAUCUGUGGAGAUGAUUAGAUAGUGCAUGUUUCGGGCCGAGACCCUUCCUCCGAGCUGAGAAGGAAGGCGGAAGAUGCCCGAAUAAAAAGAAGCAGAAGCUAACCUUUUUCAACACCGGAAAACAAAUCACCCCUGAGUUGAGCUAAAAAUAUAACCAAAUGACACGGCAGAGGUGAUCACCUUUCAAUGUCAGAUAUGUUAACUUCUGAAUGAAAGUGUAGGAUUGGCCUUCAAGGUCAGGGCUAAUC